RNAcentral lists this long non-coding RNA (238 nucleotides) under Elaeis guineensis (African oil palm). RNAcentral's name for it is "long non-coding RNA (EGUI_LNC039757)". Lineage: Eukaryota; Viridiplantae; Streptophyta; Magnoliopsida; Arecales; Arecaceae. The record is from RNAcentral.
GGUAUUCUAAAUAAGGAUAAUGACACUCCUCAAAUUGUGUUGAAUGAUGGGGUCGUGCAAAUAGUAGUAAUCACACCAAGGACUUCGAGGUCAUGGGCUUAAGCAAUUUCCGACAAACUAUGGUAUUGGUGGGAAGCUCAGAAGAUUUUCAAUGAAGAAAUCAAUCAUCUCCAAUAAAAUUUUCUGAAGUAGUGAUUCUCUCUGAUGAAAAAUAUGAUGGAGUUUGGAGAGGUGGUCC